Rhodamnia argentea is the source of this 206-nucleotide long non-coding RNA. RefSeq lists it as uncharacterized. The transcript is spliced from 3 exons. Lineage: Eukaryota; Viridiplantae; Streptophyta; Magnoliopsida; Myrtales; Myrtaceae. The record is from RefSeq and is a predicted model, not a curated record.
CAAAUACCAAGACAUCAAGUUAGGAUGCAGGUUCAAAAAUUUCCAAAAUGUGAAUAGAAAAUGGAGGUGGGUGCCGCAGCAAGGACGACGGCUUCGACAUCGUUCACGACAACGACGUUAGCAUCUGUGCAUGGUGGCUUCAAAGAAGAUGAUCUAGUGUUGCAUUAGCCGUGUCACACUUAGAAGCUUUCUUGGAAGAACAGGUU